UCCAGAGGAAGCCACCAGAGGGCAGUGUCAGCCCGCAUCUCACGGCUCUCCAACGCCCUCCUGGGCAGGACCAGUCACCCGGCAAAAGAGGCCCAGUCUGCAAAGGGAACGUUUUGCAGACAGAGCAACCAAGGCUCAGCCCGGGCUCACUCUGCAGGGAAACCUUCGGGCCCAGCAGGGCUCAAAAUGGACCAGCGGCAUCAACUUCUGGAACCCGGGCCCCAGCUCUCCACACUGCAACAUGGACACUGAAGAGACCAGAGGAAGUACUUUUUGGUUAUUUAUCUCUAAAGUCUAAACACGUAUCAACACCUGCAGGAAAUCAGCAACUCAUACCACACGUCACUUCCAUCUGAAGCGUCCAGGCUAGAGGAGAUAUCCAAGAUACCACAUCCUAAGCUCAACACGGAGAUCCCGGGGACCGACAUGAAGACAGUGACCUCACCUGCAGCGGUGGGUCAGUUUCUGGAACCAGCCCUCCGGUGAUAGGACGGCAUUUUGCUUGUUAUUUUUUGGUCUGGACUUCGAAUUCUUUCCUCGCCAGGACCCAAGUGCCAAGGUUUCUGACCCCUGCUUUGGUCUGACCCCCUCCAGCCAGACACCAGGUGCCGUUCCCGCCGCCCUCAACAUAUUCAAGGCAGUUGGAACCAUCAGAAUCCAAAUGAGACUAAGAAGCAAGCAAAAACGCUUUCCCCAAACACUAAGCAGUAGCAAGAGGUUGAUGCUGUAUUGCUGUUCCUAUAUGUAUCGUAAACAGAAUGCUUCCUUUGUGGAUAGGAAGUUUCAAGCAUUGUUAUUUCCCUCGUUUGUUCAGUGGUUCGUAGACUGCUGGGCAAAUUUAUUCCCGUGAUAAAUCUUGAAGGAAAUCCAAACUUUUAGCCAUACUCUUUGCCAUCUUCUCUCCUCUUAUGAACCAGAGUUGAUAAAAAAAAAAAAAAAUUCUUUUGGCAAUAUCCAUGUUGUUAUUUUUUCCACAUACUGAUUUUUGGGCCUGGGGCACAUUCUGCGGUAAAACUUUGAACUCUUCCUCCCCACACUUUACUUAGACCAGUCACACCAAGAAAAACAUCACGAAUCACAGCUACUCCAUGCAUCUAGGCCCGUGCUUGGUCAGAUCAUGCUUGCUGGGAAAACUUCGUUUCUAUAUCUACACUACUAUUGGCUAAAACGAAAAAAAAUCAGGACUGUGACCUUUGUACGGGUUCUAUUGCUGUUAUGUCAGCCACGUUCUGCCUUCCUACAACUGAGUAUUCUAUUGUCCUCUGAGGCAGUAACUGACUGAAAUUAGAUGCCAAGAUGGAUAAAACUCAAUUCAAAUUCUGUGCCAAAGGAAGAUACAUUUUAUUCUGGGGCUAUUUCUGGAAAUAAAACUUCCUUUUGGUAAUUUGGUUUAGCUGAGGGUUUCUCACAGUGACCACUGGAGUGAAAAGGACAUCAAAAUAGCCUCACUAAAUUGAAGACUGAGUAAUUGGAUUCAAAGUUUAUUUUUACAUCUACAAUAUUUUCGAAAAGGAAAGGGAACGAGUAACUUCUGCGAUCGCCUUUCCACAGUAAGACUAGUAAAAUACUGAGUGUUUUUUAAAGAUUAAAACUUUCCCCUCCUUGGAGCAUGAAGCUUAAGCACAUGCAUGAUUGAUUGCUGUUUAGAAGACAGAGCAUGUCCAUGUCCCAGAGCUAUUUCUCCCUCAAAUGGAAAUUCUUCCUCUAAGU
This is a long non-coding RNA of Pipistrellus kuhlii (Kuhl's pipistrelle), 1710 nucleotides long. RefSeq lists it as uncharacterized. NCBI's taxonomy places the organism in Eukaryota, Metazoa, Chordata, Mammalia, Chiroptera, Vespertilionidae. The record is from RefSeq and is a predicted model, not a curated record. The transcript is spliced from 3 exons.